Molecule: long non-coding RNA, 4017 nt
Filed under: Sus scrofa (pig)
Lineage: Eukaryota; Metazoa; Chordata; Mammalia; Artiodactyla; Suidae
Description: lncRNA (ENSSSCG00050000556.1)
Source: RNAcentral
CCUGAAAAAUGGGCCAUGUGCACUUCUAUGAAUCAUGCUUCCAUUGAUUGUUGGAAAGCUCCAGAAAAGGCAGGGCCCCAUCAAAGAGACUGACCCCCCUUGAAUGCACGUUGGAACAGUUGUGUGCGAUGUCCAACAGCCUGGGGGACAGGAAGGAGUUAAAUCCUGGUGGCAGCAGAGGGCAGGAGCUGGAGGGGCCUGUCCCUUCCCGCGCUGGCGGAACCGGGUCAUGAGAGCGGGCAGGAACUUGCACUUGGCUUUCCUGGGCAGGCAAAUAUCAUGCACGUUGCACUGUUCCUGUGGGCAGCUAAUCAUUGCACUGGCCUUGAGCUGUAUAUCGUUGUGAUUGCAGCCUUGGCUCCUCCCUCUAUGUCACUGCCAAUGGGCUGGGAAAUGUGAACACCAUUCUGGCCCAUUAAAGGGGGGCAGUGGGUGCCUCUGUCACCUGAGGCCCCCAGGUGAGCCAUUUGGCUGCCUGGCUCCUGCCUGGGGCAGUUGUUUAAUUUGCUUAAAGGCUCCCCUUCAGAUGCCCUUUGGUAAGCUGAGAAGGGAUGCAGUAUCAGUUUUCCAGUUCUGCUGUCACAAAGUGUCACAAACUGGGUGGCACAUCAGAAAGGUAUUCUCUCACUGUCCCGGAGGCCAGAAGUUCAAAAGCAAGGUGUCCACAGGGCUGUGAUCCUUCCAAAGGCUGUCAGGGGGAGUCCUUUGCUGCGUCCAGCCUCUGAGGGUCACCAACAAUGUCUGGGGCUGUUUGCAUCAGUAGCAACAUAAAAUACAAUAUUUGCCUGGUAUUCUUUACACAGUAUUAUUUCUUUCUUCGGUGUGUGCAUGUGCAGGUGCGCGCGUAUGUGCGUUGCGUGCGUGCGUGUGUGUGUGUGUGUGUGUGUGUGUAUCUUCAAACUUUCCUCUCUUCUCUUAUAAAGACAUCAAUCCAUGGAUAUCGGUCCCAUUCUAAUCCAGGAUAAUGUCAUUUAAAUUUUUUUUAAAUUUUUUUUGCAGUAAGACAUGUCACAUAAGAUCUACUCUCUUAACACAUUUUUAUACAUAAACUACAUCAUUGGGAACCACAGGUAUAGGGUGCUACAGAUCUCUACGGUUUAUUCAUCUUGCUAAACUACCUUACUUUAAUGUUUUUUUCUUUUUGGCUUUUUAUAGCCGCUCCUGCAGCAUAUGGAAGUUUCCAGGCUAGGGGUCACACUGGAGCUGCAGCUGCUGGGCUACACCACAGCCAUGGCAACGUGGGUCCGAGCUACGUCUGCAACCUACACCAUAGCUCAUGGAAUGCUGGAGCCUUACUCCACUGAGCAAGGCCAGGGAUCAAACCCGCAUCUUCGUGGAUGCGAGUCCGGUUCGUUACUGCUGAGCCACAAUGGGUUUGAGGAUUAAGUGGACUCUCGAGCUGUUUGGGUUCAAAUCUUGGCUGGACCCCUCACUAGCAGGUCACCUAUGCUCUCAAAGCCUUCGUUUCCUCAGUUUUGGAAAAGGGCCUGAUGCUAGCACCUCCCUCCUAGGGCCGUCAGGAAGGUUACGUGGCAUCAUGCAAGACGCAAGCAUCCUGCCCCACACACAGACAGUGCCUGGCGAGCAUGAGGUGCGACACAGCCUUAGGAUCAUCACCAGCCCUGCGACCCCACCUCGAAGGCCGCUUCCAAACACCAGGACCCUCAUCUAGGGCAACAGAGAGCACGUACUCCCUGUUUCAUGUGAUGUUCGCGCUGCCUGGAAAUCAGGGCUCUGCCCCCACCUUCAUUCCCCCUCCUUGUGUGAAAGGCUGGCUCCUUCCCAGCCUUGGGACCUUGUCUUCACUGACAUCUACUCCCUAAGACCUUUUUGGCCCCUCAGGGACUUUCCAAGUCACUUGUCCAGCUGCUGCUCCGCCCUCCCUUCCACAACUAUCUGUGAUGCUGGUACCCGACUCUGGCUACAGGUGCCGCUGGACCCAUCAAAGGGGCAGCUGGGUCGCCUAAUACAAUGCAGGAGGGCAGUUCAAUUUGGAAUGUCAGCUACUUUUGAAUUUUAGUAUAAGCAUGCCACAAAUACUGCAAAUAUUGUGCUGGGAUGCUGGCCAGCACAGCUCAGAGGUAAACGCCGUGAGAGCAGUUCUCAACCACUGACAGAUGGGGAACUGGUAGGGAAGGACCCCAGUUUCCUGGCCCUGCCUAGGGGAUGACUCAGAGGCAACGUCUUCUGCACCGAUUCCCAGAAUUCCCUGGGUGGAUCCUGGACCACUUCUCUGCUGCAGCAUCCUUUAAUUAAGGCACCCAGUGUUGGCUCACUCCCCUUUCCAGUCUCCUCUUCUCACCUCCUUGGGAAAACACAACCCAAGACUCCCGCCCCAGCCUUCUAUUAUGAACCGAAUGUCUUCAUCCCUCCCAAAUUCAUACCUUGAAAUCCUCACCCUCCCCUCCAUGGGAUGCUAUUAGGAAGUGGGGCCUUUGGGAGGUGAUGAGAUCAUAAGGGCAGAGGCCUCGUGAAUGGAAUUGGUGUGCUUAAAUAAGGACUGCAGAGAGCUCUCCUGGCCUCUUUCUACAUGUGAUGACAUAAGAAGUAGGCUGUCUGCAACCUGGAAGAGGGCUCCCACCAGAACCUGACCACACUGGCAGCCGGAUCUCAGACUUCAGGCUCCUGAACUAUGAGAAGUAAGAAUAUGUUGCCUAUAAGCUUCCUGGUCUGUGGUACUUUUUAGAGCAACCCAAUUAAGACACCUCCCACCACUGUCCUCCACGCAGCCCUUGUUUAUUCAAGAGCUAUCAUCACAACUUGUUCUCGUGCACACACACACACCUACACACACACACACACACACACACACACCUACACACACCCCUGUUCGUCUCUUUGCUCAGUCUCUGCCCCACUAUGAUGUGAGUGCUGCUACCCUGACGGGGUCAUUUACUGCGGCACUCCAGCACUGAGCUCUGGGCUGGCCCUUAACACAAACUUUCUAGAUAAUGAAGGCACAAGAAAUGAACAAGAAAGAGGCUUUCUGUGCCAGCAGAGAGCAAGAUGGUUUUCAGCUCUGCAGAGCUGCAAUGAACAGAGGCCAGACAGCAGAGACCUGCCCUGGGACCUCCCCUUUGUCACCAUUCCAAUUUGACCUUGGAGAGCUGCCCGAGCCCUCUCACCUCAGUCUCCUCAUCUGUAAAACGAGGAGUUGGGACGAGAUAACCUCUCCUCUCCUGUGUCUUCCGUCUCUCAAAUCUUAUGACUCAAUAUUCUAGGUAGUAAACUUUACAGCUAUGAAUAAAUUAAUGGAAAUGAAUAUUGAAAUGAUGUGCAAACAUUUGGGCGAGUGCUUUCCUAGUCUUUUAUGAAGUGGGAGAGUAAGAAAUAAAACCGAGAUACAAGCCAUCAGCAACAUUUGUGUUGGUGGAAAUGCAGGGCCUUCCCCCUGUGUUCUGGGAAGGCGAGGUAAAUGCAUUCAAUAAAAAACCCACAGUGGGGAGUUCCCACUGUGGUGCCGUGGGGUGGGAACCUGACUGGAGUGGCUUGGGCCACUGCAGAGGCACAGGUUUGAUCCCUGGCCUGAAGCAGUGGGUUAAAGGAUCUGGCGCUGCUGCAGCUGCACAGUAGGUUGCAGCUGCAGCUUGGAUUCAGUGACUGGAAGAUGAAUUUCCAUAUACCACAAGUACAGCCAAACAAACAAAAGCUCAGUGAGAAAGGGGUCAAAAGAAAACCGGGCAUCUGGGAAGUUGGAAGCCCCCAAAGGGAGAGAUGUUCCACAUUUGGAUAUUCUUGGAAAUGAUCCUCAGAUCCAGAGAAGCAGGAAAGGAAACUGGACCAAAUAUGCUCUCCAGCUCUCUUGGUUCUUUAGAGCCAAAUGCCAGAGAUUGGGUGGCUUAUCAACACAGAACUUUAUUUCUCACAGUUGUGGAGAUGGGGCUGCCAGCCUGGUCAGGUGAGGGCUUUCUGGGUGGCAGACCUCACCUUGUGUCCAAAGAUGAUGGAAGGGACAAGGAGCUCUCUUGGAUCUUUUUAUAAGGGCACUAAUCUCAUGUGUGAGGGCUCCACCCUCAU